This 680-nucleotide unclassified non-coding RNA is filed under the name Hevea brasiliensis (rubber tree). The record is from RNAcentral. Lineage: Eukaryota; Viridiplantae; Streptophyta; Magnoliopsida; Malpighiales; Euphorbiaceae.
AUAUGGCUACACCACCACAAGAACCAUUCUUUCUUGUCAUUACAGACCAAGAGAAAGGUGUGGAGUUGGUUCCAUGGACAAAAGGCCAGAUGGGCAUUUUAGGGUUUGUUCUUGUUCUAGAUUUACAGCCAGUAGAGAAGAAGGAGAUUUAGAGGGUAGGAGAGGAAAAAAUGAAAAAGUACAAGUAGAAGACGAAGAAGAUGACAAUGGUAGCAUGGAAGAAGAAGAAGAAGAAGAACGGGAAGAUACUGCUGUUUUGCCCGAGAGAUGGGAUGUUCUAGGUCUUGGUCAAGCUAUGGUAGAUUUUUCUGGCAUGGUUGAUGAUGAAUUUUUGGAGAGAUUGGGAUUAGAGAAGGGAACAAGGAAAGUUGUGAACCAUGAAGAGAGGGGUAGAGUUUUGCGAGCUAUGGAUGGUUGCAGCUACAAGGCAGCUGCUGGUGGAUCUCUUUCAAACACCCUAGUGGCCUUGGCAAGGCUCGGUUGCAAGCCCAUUUCAGUUCCUUCCUUAAGUGUAGCCAUGGCAGGCAGUGUAGGGAGUGAUCCAUUAGGCGACUUCUACAGAGCAAAAUUAUGUCGGGCAAAUGUGAAUUUUCUCUCUUCACCUGUCAAAGAUGGGACAACAGGAACAGUGAUAGUUCUCACAACUCCAGAUGCCCAGCGAACUAUGCUUGCAUAUCAGG